CUGGACCUCAAAAAAAAAACCUGCAGGAUUCAGGAGUGGAGCUGCUCUCAGCUGGACUGAAAGGUUCACACUGUAAACUGCAGACACUCAGACUGCCAUUCUGUCAUCUUGGUGAAAAGACGUGUGAAACUUUGGGAUCAGUUGAAAAACUCCUCCCUGAAAGAUCUGGACCUCAGUAACAAUGAUCUGCAGGACUUAGGAGUGGAGCUGCUCUCUGCUGGACUAAAGAGUUCACACUGUAAACUGCAGACACUUGGAUUAAUAUAUGGUUGUAUGAUCACAGAAGAAGGCUGUGUUUCUCUGGCUACUGCACUGAAUUCAAACCCCUCCCACCGGAAAGAACUGGAUCUGACCUACAACCAUCCAGGAGAUUCAGGAGUAAAGCUGCUCUCUGCUAGACUGCAGGAUCCACACUGCACACUCAACACACUCAGGGUGGAACAUGGAGGGAAAAUCAGAAUCAAACCAAAGAAAUCAAAGAAAUAUGGCUGUGAUUUUACACUGGAUCCAAACACAGUACACCCUAGUCUAGGGUGACCUAGUGAGGACACCCUAGUUAGGACAACAGGACGGUGAUGAGAGGAGAGAAGCUGCAGUCGUAUCCUGAUCAUCCAGAGAGAUUUGAUAAGUGGGAGCAGGUUCUGAGUAGAGAGAGUGUUACUGGGCGCUGUUACUGGGAGGCUGAGUGGAGCGGCAGAGGAGUUUUUGUAUCUGUAAGUUAUAAAACCAUCAGCAGGACAGGAGAAGAAUCAAACUGUCGGUUUGGAGGAAAUAUAAACUCCUGGUGUCUGAGCUGCUCUGAUUACAGUUACUCUGUUCAUCACAAUCUGAACUACACUAAACUCCGCCCUCCUCCCUCUGGCUGUAGGAAAAUAGGAGUGUAUGUGGACUGUCCUGCCGGCAUUCUGUCCUUCUACGGCAUCUCCUCUAAUACACACACACUUAUACACAUUCAGCACCACCUUUACUCAGCCCCUCUAUGCAUGAUUCACUAUUCAUGAAGACUCCUCAGUGUCUGUGUGUGAGAUAGAUUAACCUUCCCUCUGUUUGUGAGCGUGAGUAUGAAAGAGUAUGAGUAAGUAGGACUGUAAGUGUGAGUAUGAGUGUAGUGAUGUCAGGGCCCUGGUCAUAUCACCACCUACUCAAAACACUUGAGAACAUAAAACACAGACAUUGAUAAGAUUGACAUAGUACUUACCUGGUUCCUGAAGGAAUGGCAGCGCACGAGCCACCAAGGUUCUUAAGGACUUGGUAGAGAACAAGGGUCUGAAAAAAAGAGGAAAACAAUGUAAAAACAUCUGAACAUUGCAUAAUAUACUUUCCUAAAAGUCCAAAGUGUUGCAUGCAUGUAUUCUAUUAUGUAAAUAAUUUAAAAUAACUCUUGCCCACCUGCUUGCAAUGUAAUUAUCUAAUGGUUUAAUAUGGGGUGGGCUAUUUGAGUAUUUAAGAGCAGGUGGGCACGCUAAAGGGGGUUUCUCUAGAUUAAGCAUGACUUUAUGCCGAUAGGAAAUUGUUGGAUUGGGAGCACUUUGAGCAAGUUGCUCAAGUGUCAAGAAGGUGGUAGCUACAGUGCCACUGUAGCAGAUAGCUUGGAAAACAAUUCUUCCUCUCUCUGUCUAUUUUGCCUUUGUCUUCCUCACAGAGUUGAGGAAUGCCAAGUAAUUUCCCUUCACCUCAAUGUGAAGAACUUCAAAAAAGUAACCGAUCAAUGGCCAAUCCAGUUUACAGCCCAUUUUUCUGGACCAGGUUUAAAACUAACCAUAGUAUUAACACUCUAUGUCAGCAAUUGAGUUUUUCAAAACAACAAUCAUAAAAGCAUUAUGGAUAGAAUGUUUACUUCUCUUCCACCCAAUUGAGACUAGAUAAGACUCCAUAAAAGCACCAUAAAAUUUACACAUACACACAAACCCUUCAAACCACAAACACUCUG
This is a long non-coding RNA of Astyanax mexicanus (Mexican tetra), 1930 nucleotides long. RefSeq lists it as uncharacterized. The transcript has 5 exons. The record is from RefSeq and is a predicted model, not a curated record. Lineage: Eukaryota; Metazoa; Chordata; Actinopteri; Characiformes; Acestrorhamphidae.